This is a non-coding RNA of Sphaerobolus stellatus SS14, 100 nucleotides long. The record is from the annotation of a GenBank genome assembly. NCBI's taxonomy places the organism in Eukaryota, Fungi, Basidiomycota, Agaricomycetes, Geastrales, Sphaerobolaceae.
UCCGAUAUCGUGUAGUGGCUAACAUUAUCGCAUCUCACAUGAAUGAUUUACUGAAACGUUUAGAACGCGAUAGCCCGAGGUUCAAUUCUCUGUGCCGGAA